AACGAACGCUGGCGGCAGGCCUAAUACAUGCAAGUCGAGCGCGCCCUUCGGGGUGAGCGGCGGACGGGUGAGUAACGCGUGGGAAUGUACCCUUUUCUACGGAAUAGCCAUUGGAAACGAUGAGUAAUACCGUAUACGCCCUUUGGGGGAAAGAUUUAUCGGAGAAGGAUCAGCCCGCGUUAGAUUAGAUAGUUGGUGGGGUAAUGGCCUACCAAGUCUACGAUCUAUAGCUGGUUUUAGAGGAUGAUCAGCAACACUGGGACUGAGACACGGCCCAGACUCCUACGGGAGGCAGCAGUGGGGAAUCUUAGACAAUGGGCGCAAGCCUGAUCUAGCCAUGCCGCGUGAGUGAAGAAGGCCUUAGGGUCGUAAAGCUCUUUCGCCAGGGAUGAUAAUGACAGUACCUGGUAAAGAAACCCCGGCUAACUCCGUGCCAGCAGCCGCGGUAAUACGGAGGGGGUUAGCGUUGUUCGGAAUUACUGGGCGUAAAGCGCACGUAGGCGGAUUAGAAAGUAUGGGGUGAAAUCCCAGGGCUCAACCCUGGAACUGCCUCAUAAACUCCUAAUCUAGAGUUCGAGAGAGGUGAGUGGAAUUCCGAGUGUAGAGGUAAAAUUCGUA
This 618-nucleotide ribosomal RNA is filed under the name uncultured Alphaproteobacteria bacterium. Its description in RNAcentral is "bacterial SSU rRNA". It matches the Rfam family "Bacterial small subunit ribosomal RNA", at positions 28 to 692 of the family's 1533-position model. The record is from RNAcentral. Lineage: Bacteria; Pseudomonadati; Pseudomonadota; Alphaproteobacteria.